GCACUAUUUGUAAGGCAACAUAGUUUAAUGAAAAGAAUUGUGGUAAACAUAAUUAGGUGAUUAACACAGAAGAGGCAAAUAGUAAACAAGUCAGAAGAAACAACCCCCUCCAAAAAAUAAAAAGUAACUGAUUUACUUGGUAUCCAAGAAGUUACGUUAUUGCUAGACCUAAUAGAAUGGAGAGAUGGAAUGAUGUAGGGAGAAAGGCUCUGAAAUCACAACUGGUUGGAAAAAAAAUUUUAAUUACAUAAUCUUAUUUGUCACAUCCAUCUGCCAGAUGUAGAGCUUAUUGCUGUUUGUGGAGAUGUGCAGACCAAUAAAAAGCCUAUUUAAUGCUCUCUUAAACUCCACCACGCCUGGCCAAAAGGGACUUUAAAAAGCUUUGUUGCAAUUUCUAAAACAUCAUAAGGAUAUAUUUCCAAAAAUUUUCACAUACUUCAUUUCUAUCUCUUUUUUCUCUGUCCUUGCCUUCCUCACAAACUCAGCCUAGUAUAGUGAUUAAAAGCGUGGGUUUUAGAAUCAGUAUGACAUUGCGUAGAGCUCAGGCUACAUUAUUGACUACCAACAUCACCUUGGGCAAAUUACUAGUCUUGAGGAUUAUCCUGCUUUGUCUCUAAACUUCACUUAAUAGGGUAUAGUACUGUUUGUGAAAAGUAAUUGAAAUUGUGUAAAUAAUUUAGCAGUACCUGGUUGUAUUUUAAGAAUAAUACAUAACUAAAAGGAGAUGCUUUGGGAUCUCAGAUUUGUGAUAUGAAGCUUUCAUUCAAUUAUGACGAAAAAUAAGAAACUGCAACAAAAAUUACUAUCUAGGAAAGGGGAGUAAACACCAGGACGUCACCAUAUCAACAUAUGGUACUAGGCAGGGAUGAGUCGUCCUUGUCUACUCCACUACCAAAUGUUGAAGUUCUUCAAGAAUCAGUCCUUUGGAGGUGAUGUCAUUGAAAAUGAUGAGUAGGAAACUCCAAGAGCGCAUUUCUCCACAAAACCAGUGAAUACAUUGGCACAAAUUGUCAGAAUCAAUUUUAUAUAAAUUCUGGAGCAUUUAAGGAAAUCUGUUUCUCUUUUGGAUCACUAGCUGCAAAUUAAGCUAACAGAACAGGAGCUCAGCUGGUCACACACAGCAACGAAUACAGACUUUAUAAAGUUCAGAAAAGUUACCAAACAGUGGUAACCAUAACAAGUACCAACAAUGAACUAUGGGGAGGGAGGAGAAUCUGAUUUCCAGAGUUACCACAUUAUAAUACUAUUCAAAAUGUCACAUUUUUAGCAAAGAUUACAUGACAAGGAAAAACCAGAAAAGUAUGGCCCAUACACAGGUAAAAAAAGAAAUUAAUAGAAACUACCCCUGAAGAAGCACAGACUUCGGAUGUACAAAACAAAGACUUUUCAUCAACUCUUUUAGAUAUGCUAGAAGAGCUAAAGGAAACCAUGGACAGAGAACAAAAAAAUUAGGAAAGCAAUGUCUCAUCCA
RNAcentral lists this long non-coding RNA (1471 nucleotides) under Homo sapiens (human). Its description in RNAcentral is "non-protein coding WAC-AS1:7". Lineage: Eukaryota; Metazoa; Chordata; Mammalia; Primates; Hominidae. The record is from RNAcentral.